GAUGAAGAACGUAGCGAAAUGCGAUACGUAAUGUGAAUUGCAAAUUCAGUGAAUCAUCGAGUCUUUGAACGCACAUUGCGCCCCCUGGUAUUCCGGGGGGCAUGCCUGUCCGAGCGUCAUUGCUGCCCUCAAGCACGGCUUGUGUGUUGGGCCCCGUCCUCCGAUCCCGGGGGACGGGCCCGAAAGGCAGCGGCGGCACCGCGUCCGGUCCUCGAGCGUAUGGGGCUUUGUCACCCGCUCUGUAGGCCCGGCCGGCGCUUGCCGAUCAACCCAAAUUUUUUAUCCAGGUUGACCUCGGAUCAGGUAGGGAUAUCCGCUGAACUUAAGCAUAUCAAUAAGCGGAGGA
Molecule: unclassified non-coding RNA, 346 nt
Filed under: soil metagenome
Description: partial contains 5.8S ribosomal RNA, internal transcribed spacer 2, and large subunit ribosomal RNA
Rfam family: 5.8S ribosomal RNA (bases 1-119)
Source: RNAcentral